CCCUCUCCCCCCGCUUGCAGCCACGUCUCCUGAUUAGACUGUCCCGGGCGCGAACCAGCGCAGAACCCUCUCUCCCGGGACAGGGGAUCCCGCUCCCUCCGCGCUGCGCCUGGCUGGGUGCUCUUAAAGCGCCAAACUCCGGCUCUGUUCUCGCCCUUGCGUGGCCAAGCCCCAUCCAUCCCCGACUCCUGAGCAGCAGAACCAGCCCUUGAGAGCUGCGACCCGGCGGGUCCGUCAGCCCCCGCUCCUUUAGACAGCUGGGCGAGCAAGCAGACAAACAGCCCGCCCCCAGCCACAAGAAAAGGAAACCCACACAACUGGAAUCCCCCCUUGAACGGGUCUUGAGCGUUGCGCCGGGAGCCUGGCGCAGCCCGCAUCCUUGCACUAGAGCGUCAACGUGACGCGUGCACUAGUGAGCACCCGCGUGGGAGGCGGCGGUGGAACCGUGUGUUCGUGAAAAGCGGCAGCAACAUCAAAAUCGUCUCGCGUUAUCCAAUCGUUAAGCAACGCUUUCUGGAAACUACCCUGGAAAGGAACUAUUUGAAAUGAACUCAGACACCGCCCCCCAAAAGUUCUUUUGUUAGUAAAGUGGCAACGCGCAGAUUUUCAUUUAAAAGGCUCUCCAACUUUUGACAUGGGCCGUGCUCCGUUUCCACAGAAAAUCAGCCGAGGAUUCAAGUUCCCUGAACCACUUGUAAAGUGAAAUGCCGGAGUGGGAGACCGGGACGCAGGUCUAAACGGAAGAAAACGUGGCAAUCGGUCAGGCAGGUUUUGCUGGACGGUGAGCGGGCGAAAUAACUAGGGGAGGACCCGGGUGUUGGAGCGUAAAGAGAUUUACGGAGCCUUCCAUGUCCAGAUGACAUCUCGAAGCAAAGCAUCCCAGGAAAACCUUCCAUCCCGGGCAUCCGCCUGUGACCCCAAACACCGAUUUACAUUACCCCUGAACACACGUGCAGGGCAACCCAGCUGGCUUUCUCCACGUUCGCUUUUAUGUCUUUAAUUUUUGCCUACGAUGAUAGUUUCCCUGCAUGAGACCGCGAUGUGUGUUUUCCUAACUGGAAACCUCAUCAGAACUGGGCAGGAAAAGCGAACGGUUUUUUUUUGGGGGGUCAGUAUCUUCCAAGGAAGAUCCAACUGGCAAAUCAAUUUCCAGCCCUUGUUUCUGAAGGGAUUCACCUCCCACCCUCUUGCUUUAUUGGGCUACGGAGCCGGGAAUGAGCCGUAACCUACAUGGUAGGGCUGACUCUGUGGUCCCUGGAUUGAUUCCCCGUGGGGAGAGGCGGUGGGUCUCUGCGCUCGCUCGGGUAAGGCGUGGAACCGGCUGGCGCGGACGCCUCGAUCGAUGCAUUGUUGAGUACACGCGUCCCUCGGAAGUUUUGCAGACUCGCAGAAGGUGGGUGAGCUCGAGGAGUCCUUGAAAGCUCAGUCACCCCUGUGUGGCCCCAGGGCUUUGAAGAGCGCCCCAUCGAUUUGCCUUCCUGCCUGUUGCAUUUCCCCCUUUCGUUAGAGCUAGCCUGCCAGCAAUGCGGCAAGGCACAGAGUUAACACGAGGACAUAAAAAUGGCCAGACUGGGUCAGACCAAAGGUCCUUCUAGCCCAGUGUCCUGUCUGCCCACAG
Non-coding RNA from Pelodiscus sinensis (Chinese soft-shelled turtle), 1618 nucleotides. Lineage: Eukaryota; Metazoa; Chordata; Testudines; Trionychidae. The record is from RefSeq and is a predicted model, not a curated record.